This 497-nucleotide ribosomal RNA is filed under the name uncultured bacterium. Its description in RNAcentral is "partial 16S ribosomal RNA". It matches the Rfam family "Bacterial small subunit ribosomal RNA", at positions 28 to 507 of the family's 1533-position model. The record is from RNAcentral.
GAUGAACGCUGGCGGCGUGCCUAAUACAUGCAAGUCGAGCGAACAGAUGAGGAGCUUGCUCCUCUGACGUUAGCGGCGGACGGGUGAGUAACACGUGGAUAACCUACCUAUAAGACUGGGAUAACUUCGGGAAACCGGAGCUAAUACCGUAUAAUAUAUUGAACCGCAUGGUUCAAUAGUGAAAGACGGUUUUGCUGUCACUUAUAGAUGGAUCCGCGCCGCAUUAGCUAGUUGGUAAGGUAACGGCUUACCAAGGCAACGAUGCGUAGCCGACCUGAGAGGGUGAUCGGCCACACUGGAACUGAGACACGGUCCAGACGCCUAAGGGAGGCGGCAGUAGGGAAUCUUCCGCAAUGGGCGAAAGCCUGACGGAGCAACGCCGCGUGAGUGAUGAAGGUCUUCGGAUCGUAAAACUCUGUUAUUAGGGAAGAACAAAUGUGUAAGUAACUAUGCACGUCUUGACGGUACCUAAUCAGAAAGCCACGGCUAACUACGUG